This 11075-nucleotide long non-coding RNA is filed under the name Coffea arabica (coffee). RNAcentral's name for it is "long non-coding RNA (CARA_LNC006764)". Lineage: Eukaryota; Viridiplantae; Streptophyta; Magnoliopsida; Gentianales; Rubiaceae. The record is from RNAcentral.
AAAAUUGUAAGAACAAAGCACGGUUUUAGCUGCCUUAGUCAGUAUGAGUUUGAGUAGGCUUGGCUGGCUUAGAAGUGUCAUUCAAACUGGAGUAGGGCUUAGUCUCGGAUGCAAAGUUCCUUGGUUGGCAAAUUUUUGUCUCGAUGUUAUGCUGCUUCGGUUGCUGCUACUGCCAAGGGCUAGCUGCUGUCUAGUUUCUUGUUACUUGUCAACACUAACAUGUUUUGCAUUGUCCUACAGGGACAUCUCCACACCUAUAGAUUCUGUGACAAUGUUUGGACUUUCAUCUUACAAGAUGCUCAUUUCAAGAGUGAUGAAUGUCAAGAGACUGUCAGCCGUGUUAAGAUAGUGGCAUGUGACUCGAAGCUGCUGACACAGUGAGAAAGCUGCAUACUGGGCCGAUAUUGAGUAAUAUUAGCUGCUGAUGUCACCUAUUUGCCAGAUGGUGCAAAAGACUGGUAAGAGGAGUUGGCGGAAGGGAUAUGGAAGCUCAUUCAUGUAGUUGUAUUUGUAAGUGAGGGGGAAACUGGAACUCUCAUUGUAUAAAUCCCAGAUCAUUGUAAACUGAGUGUUUCUUGACUACUUGACAUAUACAUAUUGGAUAGUCUUUAAUUCUUUCUUCAUUCUUGAGAAGGUGGUUCGAUUUCAUAGCAUGUUUCUGUGUUUUUGUUCAAUAGAAAACCAGCGUGCUUGUUGUUGUGAGGUCUAGUUGCAUUUUGUGGAUAUCUGAGCAGAGCUGCGAAGAUGCUAGCGAUAAACUUUGCAUUAUGCUGCUUUAUUCUUGGAACUACUUUCAUUCAACAGAAACAAAGACCAUUAGAUGGAUGGCUGGAUUGAAUUUGUUUUCCUUCCCCGUUUUAUUGACAUCCCUGUGAGCUCUUCUUCUGUUCCAUCCUCUUUCUUGUGAUUAUUCCUCUGAAAUUAAGCAUCAGGAAGCAUGGAGCCAUCAGUCGAAUGUUCGUCUGAUAACAGCAUGAAUCUAUCAUGCCAGUGCUAAAACAUUUGUAUGGUAUGAUUUCUCUAAAUACGUAGGCCACAGGUGACGACACUGCCUUCUCUUUGAAGAUGACGUGAAAGAAAGAAAGGGUAUCCAACACAGGAUAAUAACGUGACUUCACAAUUAAAUCAAAUAUUUAUUUUUAUAAUGCACAUCUCUAAUUUCUCAUAAAUAAAUAAGAUUAAUUUUUUAAAAUAAUCACUUUUUUCUUGAAAAAUAAAAUAUUAACUUUCAUUAAAUUUUUUACCUUUCCGAUUUUUUAUCUUCUAAAAACUAAUAUUAUUAACUUGUGAUUUUCAAUAAUAUAUAUUUUUCUGUCCCUCAAAAAUAUUAAUAUUUUUCCCUUAAAUGGGAAGAUGUCAUAAUAAUUCAUACUUAAUUAAUAAUACUCUAUCGAAUUAAUUUAACUCCAUGACAUAAUUUAAAUCAAAUAAAAUGCAAAUAAUAAUAUAAUAAAUAGUACUAAUUUUCAUUGUCAUUGCCUCCAAAUCGUUCUCAAAUAUGCUCGAACGAGUCCAAUCGAAGUUGAUGAUGUAUUUCACGAUCACAUAGUUUCGCAUUCCUUUGAAGGUAAUUUUGAAAAUUUUCAACAGAACCUUGAGUCACACGAAUUGUUAGAUGUUAUCAAAAAUUUGGGAUUUCAAGUAACUGUACAAUUUUGCAUCAUAUUGUAAAUAUGAUAUGCAUGAUGCGCGUAAUGGCCAUUUGUGAACUCCCCCAAGCAGCGUUGAAUGGAGGAGCGUACCGUUGGAGCCACCCUAAAGUAAAGGUAGUCGAGCCUUGAGGAGGCAUUUUGGUGCGACAAAACUCGAGGAUUUUGGUACCAAGGAAUAUCCGCAAGUACUAAUCAGCAUCCUUUCCCAAUUGCAUGCCACUAUUUCAUUCGUGAACCUGCACUUUCGUUUCGGGUUGGGCGGUGGAUCAUGGCUUGUCCUACUCUGCAAGUUGCAACGGUGCAAAUACAAACCACAUAAAACAUUAACCACAUAAAACAGUGGUUAAAUCAACCACGACAUCGCUUCUAGCCCACGUAAUUAAGCUCCGAUAAGAUUAAAAAAAAAAAAAAGUGCUAGGAGACGAAGAGGAGCCAAAAGUUUCGUAAGAGGGCCAAUUGCCUAGUUUUUUAUUCUUUUUGUCUUCACCUGUUAAUCUGUGACAUAAUCGUUGAUCCCUUAAAGAUGUUCUAUUGAAACAAAAAAAAACUAGUGAAGCUAUACUUCUAGACUUGUGAGUGUAAUAAAACUAAUACGGAUGAAUAAGAACAAAAUGUCAAGUAUUUAUAGAGUUAAGUCCUCAAGGUUGCCUCAAAAGUUACCGAUUUUUGGGAUUAAGUUUAACUAACUAAUUUCAAAAGUCUGGAAAAAAAAAGUGUUCCCGAUAUUAUAAACAAGUUAGAGACUUUUAAUCAUAUACAAAACAAGAUUAAUGGUACAUAAAAGGGUUAAUUAUAAGAUUACCCAAGCUUAAACUUUAAAAUGGGACACUUAAGAUGACUUUUAAUAAAAUGGGACACUUCAACCACCACGACAUAUUCUAUUUACAAAACAAGAUUGAAGUGGGUAAUGGUACAUAAAUAUACGAAGGAAUUAAAUGGUCAUCCAUAUCAGUCCUUUUGUUGCUUCAUAUUCUAAUCUAGAGAAACUCGAUGAAUAUAGGAAAAAUUCAAUGAACAUGUGGAACUCAAUGUACAUCCAUCUCUUUUAGUUGUUUUAUAACGUUGAGUGAGUCCCUAGGAAGUUGGCGAGUGAAAGGAAAAAAAAAUAUUGUGAUGUUGUCCUAAAAUUCAUAUGAAAAGGAAAAAAAAAAAAAAGAAAUUCUUAUAGCUCAGUUUUCAAUUUCAAAUUUUGAGGCAAUGAUGGAAAAAAAAUGUUUGAAUAAAGGGGUAUUAUUUGAAAUAAUUAUUGUACAGUAACUUUUUUUUUUUUUUUUGUAAUGCAGUAUAUAUGAGAUAAAAGAACAGUUAAAAAAAACGUGUUUAUAAUAUAAGUAAAAUAAUAUUUGAUAAAACAAAAAAUUUGCAUCCAAGCACACUACUCCAUUUCAUAUGGUGGAGGAAGCUUGGUAUAAUUGUAAUGGGAUCAAUAAGAACAUAUUCACAAUUCAUAAAAAUGUCUAAAGAGCUAUAUUGGCACAGCCAGCCAAGAGAUGAUUAGCAAUAGGGUAAGCUAUGAUUAUCGCUUCAAAUGCAAAGUCUUAGGAUGUAUGACAGAAUAGCAACCGUUUGCCACAUGGAUGCAAUGUCCUACUAUGAUGAUUGAUGAUGCCACUCAAGUUGGUGCAAGUAUUGACCAAAGACUUUUUACAAAAUUCCCUUUUUUUUUUUUUUUUUUCAUUUUGCUGUUGGCAUAUUGCUGUGGAUGAAAUUCCAGUUUCCAAUCCAUGUCUGUGGUUUUCAUGUCUUGGCUUGGAAGUCCAGUCGUCAAACUUCUGUCCUCAUCGCUUUCUGAUUUAUGGCCCAUCUGAACUUUUCCACAAAUGCUUUAUACUUCUUUCUUGCACCCCCUCUUCUCAUAUUGGUGGGUACAAAAAAAUUCUAAGCUCAAUAAAAUCCUUAAUCAUAUGUAUGUAUAUAUAUGCACAGUUUUCAAUCAUGCAGAUAUUUUGCAUGUUGAGACAUGGAGAAGGUCAUCUGACUUCUGUUCUCCUACUUUUCUUUUCUUCAGAAGCAAUGAUAUGGAUCUUUUUUUCUUUUUUUUUUUGUCGACACAGGGGUGUCCGGGUCAAUCCUUACGGGGUCCGACUAAUCCCCUGUAAUCCGGGUCCAGCGCCCCAACCCGACCCAAGCACGAUAAGUGCGCGGAGGAAUCCAACAGAGCAAAGAUUCGAACUCGGGACCAAAUGGUCACCAAUGGGAGGUGCUACCGUUGGAUCAUUCACGCGGGCAAAAUAUGGAUCAACCUGAACCUUUUGUUUGUAACUUUUGCUUUUAACCUUUUGUUCAGGUUGAUAUGGAUCAACCCGAACCUUUUGUUUUCAACUUUUAGGUUUCUCCUUUUAAACCCUUUUUUUCUUUGGAAAUGGUGACCAGCCUUUCAAUUUGGUUUUGGCAUGUACCUUUUUCAUCGAUCUGUGCAUUUUGUUCUUCACUAAUGUGUAGAUUCACGGAUUUGAGAGUGCAUUUUUUUAUUAAAGAGUAUAAUGUAUUGCUGAAACUGAACAAUGUAAAUAUUCUCGCUCUGUUUGUUUGUUGAAAAAAGAAUUGAUCGUGCAAUGUAUAAAAUAGUUCAAGAAAUCAUACAAACCAAUAUCAUGAAUGACAACAAUAUAAAAUUUAAAUUUGAAAUUCAAUUUUUGCACAUGUGUCAUAGAUUCAACGGUGAUAAUGUGUGCACUGUUAGUGUACAUAAAAUUCAAUCUAAUCUAUAUUACUAGUUGGAAAGUAGGUUGGUAACUUUGGAUACAUGUUUUUGGUAGGGGCCAAAAAAAGAUUCUCAUCCUAGUUUGGAGACAAAUCAUUAAAGCAAAUUGAUAAUUUGAUUUAGAACCCAGUAAACUCGUUUACAAAUUUACUCUAUGAGGAUAAAAUCCAAAAUCAUAUCAUCAUUGCCUAAUCAUAUUUCAUUGAUAAGUUGUUUUCUUUGUUGUUGAUUAUGAUUGUUGUAGUGAUUUGAUUACACAUCUAUUGGUGUGCAAAUUAAGGAAUUUUUUUUUUAUUAAAACAAUGGAAGUUAUUAGAAGUUUACUUUUUUUUGUUGCAAAAAAGGUUAUUAUUUCUUUUUUUUUUUUUGCAAACAAAGAAAUUAUUGGAACUUAAAAUAGUGGAAGUUAUCUGAACUUUAGUAGUUAUAUUUAGUAAAUUUUUACUUUUGUGACGUUAAAUUUGAAAAAAAUAAAAGAUGACAAAAAUUUUUAACACCAAAUCCAUGCUCAAACUUUAUAUAUAUAUAAAGAUAAUAAUUUUGUCUUGGGUAACUUAUUCUAAUUCGACUCAAGCUUCCAGUGGCUUUGAAAAAAGAACAAAGUAAGCACACAUCAUAGCAAGAUUUACUCUUUUAUUUCAACCAUUUUUCUCUAUUCCGAACCAAAGAAGUUGAGUCGGGAUAAGAUUUUAUCAAAUAUAGCAAAGGAAGUGCUCUAUUUUACAUAUUUUGAGACAAAUUUUCAUGACAUUAAAUGAAAGCAAUACGAGGAAAUAAAUAAUUAAGGACGACCGAUAAAAUGAGCUAAGUGUUAUACAUUUAAUAGUUUAUACUAAAGAUGAUAUAUAUAUAUACAUACACACACACAUAUAUUAGACCAGUUCAUCUAAAAAAACUAAGUGGAAGUAAAUAAUUAAGUCAAUAAUAUUAUCCUUUGAGGAAAAUAAAAUCCAUCAUGUUUCAAGCUGGCUGUUGUCUGUGAGGAGAUCAUGUAAUAAAACUUCCAUAGACGCAAAAAAAAAAAAAAAAAAAAAAUCCCAAUGGCUCUCAAACAUAUUACAUGAACAUACAUUUAAAGAAUACCAUGAGAAUUUGUAACUGGUUUAGAAAUAUUGACACCAUCAAAAUUGUUAGUGAUAUUAUCUAAUCAUGUUAAUAAUAUCGAGGAUAUUACUGUGAAAGCCAAAGAUGCGUUUCAUCUUUCAUCUACCAACAUGUUUAAUUGAAACUUUUUUCUAGUAAAAUUAAUUUGUAACUACUAUUCCCUAUAUAUAUAUAUAUAUAUAUAUAUAUAUAUAUAUAUAUAUACAUAUAGUUAAAUAUAUUCAUGGUUUUAGAGUAAAAUGUUAAUGGGAAUUCCUAAUCUUUUGAUAAUUAUAUGUUUGAUAAUCUAAGGCAAUAUGCAUGGAGAAGUAUGAUCUCAUAAUUUGACUUAGAGCACUAUGCUCUUUGAUACUUGAACAGUAUAAAACAGGCAAAUUAAACAUAGAUCAUCUACUCUGUCUAGGUUACAAAGCACCAUCAAGUUACACGCUACUACAAAAUUAAACUAACAAAAUUCAUAACGUCAUCUGCGUGUUAACUACUUUCAUAAACCAAAUAUCUAAAAACGUAAUUCACUAAUUGAUCAAUAAUACAUCUCGAGUUUGUUUGGAUAGUGUAUUAUUUGAAAUAAUUACUGUAGCACUUUUUGUGAUGUGAUGUAUGUGAGAUAAAAAGGUGGUUGGGAAUAUAAAAAGGUGUGUUGGAAAAUGUAUCUAUGAUGCAAGCGAAAUAUUAUUUGGGAUAAUUGGGGUAUCCAAACACACUAAAUAUCUCUACUUGCACGUACCGACAAUUACAUGUUGACUAUAAUCGUAAUACGUAAUCGCUAUAUAUAUACAUCGACAGUUUCAAGCGUAUUUAUUGGAGCCGCUUAUAAACACCGACACGAACAUAUCCGCUGCCAAAAGGGUUGCCUCUUGGCUUCCAAUGCCAUCACAUCUCAAAAAUCUCGUAAUCCACAAAUUUCUCAAACAAAAAGAUACUACAAUUUGUUAAAAGAAAAGGAUUAAAACUUGGAGAGGAACUCUUCUCAAAGCCAAUUAUAUAAAGGUAAGAAUAAAGAACAACCUAGAACGAAAGGGACUAAAUUGCAAAACCGCCUUACUGUUUGGAAAAAAAGAGAGAGCCCAUGUAUCGCUGAGACUUCUCUUCUCCAUUUCUUUAUACAGUGCACGUCAUCAAAUAUUAUAUAUAUAAAACCCUGCCACAGCCCAGGCCCCUUGAGUCUUGCCCCAGGGUUACAUAAUUUCUCCUCUCUUCUGAGACCCUUUUUGUCUUCUUAACCUAUUUCCUCUCGAAUUAAACCAAUCCCCAAAUCUUCUCCAAAAAAUUCUCUGUACAGUUAUACCUUUUUGAUGUCCGAAGCAUCCACCGUUUUGCAGGUCAGCCACUUUGUCUUUUUAUGUUUGUCACAUAAAAGUCUGUAGUGUUUAUGGGGGGUUUUUUUUGGUAUUUAGGGAUGGUUUUCGUUUUAUUUUCAAUAUCGAUUUAGGGUUUUGUUGAUUUAAUUUGUCGAUUUUCGAGCUUAAAAUUGUUUGUUUUGAUGCUAACUUCUGUUAUUUAUGUUUUAUUGUUUGUGGUUUUGGUGAAUACAGUAAAUAGAUAUAGGGAAGUAGACUUUGGAUAUGGCGAGCUUAAGAUCGAGCUUGCCGUCACGGCUACGGCAACUUCUGUCCGGUGACGGAGCAAUCGGUCCCUCUGCUAAACUUGACUCCGAGCCUGUAUGCCUUCAAUUUACUUACACUACUUUCACUACUUACACUACACUAGUACACACAGAGAAACACAUAUACGCGUGUAUAUUAUAACUGUUCAAGUGAUGCCUAGUUUAUGUGAUGGUAUUUACUGGUGAUUCAACUUGAGGGUUUUGUAUUUUGGGUUUAAUUUAUUGCAAAAUGUUUUCUUUGUGGCAAUGUGCAAGUAAUUUUCUGUUGUAUUGUGAGCCUGGAUAUGGGUAUUGCUUUCUUUGCUGAAAAAUGCACUUGUUUGAUUUCUUUUAGCAGUAUUAUGUGCUUUCAGCCUAAUGGUUAGUAUAUUGAAAGAUAAAAUUAAAUGUGAAAUGGCUUAAUUUGCCUAGGGAAAUUCAUAUCAACCUUGACAAACGCAAUUAACUUUUUAUUUGCUUUGAUGCUUAAUAGAUGCGGCAGCAUUGGAGAUUUCGUUUGAUUUAAAACUUCUGUCUUUGUUUUUUGGUUGUUCAGCUUCUGUGUAUUUUAAGAGUUACCAAGGAGGAUAUGGUGCUCUUUUUUGUAGUCUAUGUUGCUUUAUGAGCAUUAUACUUUGUAAUGUCUUGGUCUUACGCUUUCUCAAGGACUUGCGUGGCUUAUUUUUUUUGUGAACUAAGGUCCUUCUUCUAAUUUCCUUUCCAUUGUGUUCUUGAAACUUGGAAUUUGUGACAUACAUUGGUUUUACUCCACUUUGCUAGUGAAUGACUUUAUUUGAAGGAAUUGAAGUAAGCGAAAACCUUCAUGAGUAAAUUCUCUGUUCUUCCUCAGUAAAUGCGUCUUUUUAUCUUAAGUUCUCUAAGCAGUUUGCUUCUCAGAGGGGUACUUUUUAUGUAUUUUUAGAUUUAUUAAAUUGAAAAUAUUUUGGGCUGAAGUAGUAUAUAGUUAGAAUUUAUGAUUUUUUUUCCUCCUUAAACUUUGUGGAAUAUACAAUAUGUGCUUUUCUUGGUGGUCAGUUUAGUUGUAUCUAGAUGGUUUGUUCAAAUUUUGCAUUUGUUGCAUGUAUUCAAUUGGUUAAAUGCGUGUAUGUCAUAUUGUUGAGUCAUGAAUAAUGCAACUUGGACCUGAUUAUGGUGGUUCAAAGGCUUGUACAUCUUAGCAAGACUUAGUGGAGGAUUUGUAAGUUUCAAGACUUGCAUGGACACAUUCAUUUUGUAAUUCAGUUCAAUUUUGUUGUUAGAUCACUUUCAAAUUCCUGAACUCUUAGUGCUCAGUUGAAUUUCUUUUCUCUUUUGUUCUUGCUAUAAAUAUAUAGAAUUAGGAGAAGCAUCGCUGCUCCUAAUUAUGUCAGUUGUUGUGUUUCCACUUCAAGAUUAUGUUGCAAGUUUACUUAUUCUUGUGGUUAGAAUACUGUUCAAAUUUAAAGAAAUGGAAAAGGAUUUUUAUAAGAUCUGGAACAUUGGUAGCUACAAAAGGAGAAAGGGCAUCUUUUUACAUAAUUAAUGUGUUGGACGUUAGAAGGAUCGAGGAAAACCUCAUAGUAGGUAUAGCUAAUUAUGCUACUGAGGAUGUGGUUUGCUUUGCCCUUGUGUUCUUGACCCUUUCUUCUUUGGGGGAUUUGAGUGGUUUAGCCUGUCCCCCAAUAUUGUGUUUCAUAUGCUUUCAUUUGCAUAAUUUUUGAAGCAUUGCAUGUCAUGCUUCUUCGGACAUUAUUGCUCAGACUUUUAAGGAAUUACCUUUGUUCUGUUUUAAAAUUCUUGCAGUUUAUAUGCUUAAGUGUUGUCAUCUUGUCAAAACCAUAAGUAAAUAGUUUUCCCCCCAUUAUGUGAGAACAUUUUCUCUCAAAUAAUUUGUGAUUUUUAAAAGGCAUAGCUUGCUGGUACAUUGUUAUAUGGGUUUUGGUAAAAAGUACAUUAAAGACUUUGACAUGUGAUUCUGUGGGAGAGCUGUAAAGUGCAUUGGAGUUUUGCAUGUGAUAUUACUGACUUUUUUGGGGAACAUUACUGACUUCAAAAGAAGUUUAUGAAUUUUCUUGUUUUUAGCCUUUUAUUUUUCCUUUUCUAUUCUUCUUUCAUAUCAAGCACUUUACAAAUUGCUUAUGGUAUCUUGGGUGUGGGAGAUCUUCUUUUCAAAAUAUUUGAUAUCUCUAUUGUGAGUUAACAUGUGAAUACCAGUAUACCAUGCUGUAAUGAAGUUAAUGGGUGAAGACAUGCUUUUGUGGAAAUAUUGAUUGGUUGUGACUGGAGAAGCAUUUUAGUUUCCAUACUUGCUGGAAUUGUAAUUUUGUCGGCCACUUCUCAUAUUAUCCGAAAAAGUAGUAGUAUGGUAUUUUAUCAUUAAUCAACAUCCACGCAAACUUCACAGGCACUCCCAUAUAUUAAAAGAUUUUAUCACGUAUAGCUGGACAUUUAUAGGCUAAAAUUGGUUGGCACCAAUUAUCAACCCCAAUAGUUUAGUAUGGAAAAGCGAUGCCACUAAUUUUGUUCUGAAAUAUUUUGGGUUUAUUACAAUUUAGUAUAUAGAUCUGAAAGUUGUGGCUAUCAAUCAUCAAGAUUUUGUGCCUGAUGCAAGCAAUUUUAGCCUACUUGGGAGAUAACGAUGUUGAUUUUUUAGAAGUUUUAUGUAUCCUUUACGUGGAAAGCUGGUGCACUUUAGAUGCAUAUAUAUCCUGCCAUGUGACAUGGCAAGACAGCUGCAAUCAGUUGGCAUUCUUCAUUUUAGUCUGUGCUGUCGUUUAUCUUUUGGUACAAUAAAUGUGGCUGUAAGAGUAUUUCUGCUGGGUUAGCUUUCCACAGAAAGAACCUUGAUGUCAUCCUGUAGGAAUUAGGGCUAGGGCGUAUGAUUCUCAAAUUUGCUCUCAGUGUGUUUCAAUUGAAGAUUGUUUGGAGAAUGUUAGUUACAAUUUACUGUCGCUAUUUUUUGGUGUGAUGUUUGUGAGAUGAAAGGGUGAUAGACAAGAUUAAAAAAAAAAGUGACUGGAAAAAGUCAUGAUUACUGUAUGUCAGACUGCUGGUGAUGUUAAUGUUCUCUUAUUCAAAUUUUUGAUGGCUUAGAAAAUUGUAAGAACAAAGCACGGUUUUAGCUGCCUUAGUCAGUAUGAGUUUGAGUAGGCUUGGCUGGCUUAGAAGUGUCAUUCAAACUGGAGUAGGGCUUAGUCUCGGAUGCAAAGUUCCUUGUUGGCAAAUUUUUGUCUCGAUGUUAUGCUGCUUCGGUUGCUGCUACUGCCAAGGGCUAGCUGCUGUCUAGUUUCUUGUUACUUGUCAACACUAACAUGUUUUGCAUUGUCCUACAGGGACAUCUCCACACCUAUAGAUUCUGUGACAAUGUUUGGACUUUCAUCUUACAAGAUGCUCAUUUCAAGAGUGAUGAAUGUCAAGAGACUGUCAGCCGUGUUAAGAUAGUGGCAUGUGACUCGAAGCUGCUGACACAGUGAGAAAGCUGCAUACUGGGCCGAUAUUGAGUAAUAUUAGCUGCUGAUGUCACCUAUUUGCCAGAUGGUGCAAAAGACUGGUAAGAGGAGUUGGCGGAAGGGAUAUGGAAGCUCAUUCAUGUAGUUGUAUUUGUAAGUGAGGGGGAAACUGGAACUCUCAUUGUAUAAAUCCCAGAUCAUUGUAAACUGAGUGUUUCUUGACUACUUGACAUAUACAUAUUGGAUAGUCUUUAAUUCUUUCUUCAUUCUUGAGAAGGUGGUUCGAUUUCAUAGCAUGUUUCUGUGUUUUUGUUCAAUAGAAAACCAGCGUGCUUGUUGUUGUGAGGUCUAGUUGCAUUUUGUGGAUAUCUGAGCAGAGCUGCGAAGAUGCUAGCGAUAAACUUUGCAUUAUGCUGCUUUAUUCUUGGAACUACUUUCAUUCAACAGAAACAAAGACCAUUAGAUGGAUGGCUGGAUUGAAUUUGUUUUCCUUCCCCGUUUUAUUGACAUCCCUGUGAGCUCUUCUUCUGUUCCAUCCUCUUUCUUGUGAUUAUUCCUCUGAAAUUAAGCAUCAGGAAGCAUGGAGCCAUCAGUCGAAUGUU